Molecule: ribosomal RNA, 119 nt
Organism: Callithrix jacchus (white-tufted-ear marmoset)
Lineage: Eukaryota; Metazoa; Chordata; Mammalia; Primates; Cebidae
Source: Ensembl
GUCUACAGCAAUGCCACCCUGAACAUGCUGUAUCUUGUCUGAUCUUGGAAGCUAAGCACGGUUGGGCCUGGUUAGCACUUGGAUGGGAGACCACGUAGAAAUACCAGGUGCUGUAGGCU